This 257-nucleotide ribosomal RNA is filed under the name uncultured prokaryote. RNAcentral describes it as "partial 16S ribosomal RNA". It matches the Rfam family "Bacterial small subunit ribosomal RNA", at positions 524 to 780 of the family's 1533-position model. The record is from RNAcentral.
UACGGAGGAUGCAAGCGUUAUCCGGAUUCAUUGGGUUUAAAGGGUGCGUAGGCGGGCUAUUAAGUCAGUGGUGAAAUCCUGCAGCUUAACUGCAGAACUGCCGUUGAUACUGAUAGUCUUGAGUUUGGUUAAGGUAGGCGGAAUGUGUAAUGUAGCGGUGAAAUGCUUAGAUAUUACACAGAACACCAAUUGCGUAGGCAGCUUACUGAGCCGACACUGACGCUGAGGCACGAAAGCGUGGGGAGCAAACGGGAUUA